Molecule: ribosomal RNA, 623 nt
Filed under: Cirrhilabrus exquisitus (exquisite wrasse)
Lineage: Eukaryota; Metazoa; Chordata; Actinopteri; Labriformes; Labridae
Description: partial small subunit ribosomal RNA
Rfam family: Bacterial small subunit ribosomal RNA
Source: RNAcentral
UUGGCUCUAGUUGAUAGAUAACGGCGUAAAGAGUGGUUAAGGAAUAAUUACACUAAAGUCGAAGGCUCUCAGCGCUGUCAUACGUUCACGAGAGAGCGAAGCUCCACCACAAAAGUGACUUUAUCCCCCCUGAACCCACGAAAGCUAUGGUACAAACUGGGAUUAGAUACCCCACUAUGCUUAGCCAUAAACAUUGAUAGUUUCUUACAUACGCUAUCCGCCUGGGAACUACGAGCACUAGCUUAAAACCCAAAGGACUUGACGGUGCUUUAGACCCCCCUAGAGGAGCCUGUUCUAGAACCGAUAAUCCACGUUAAACCUUACCUUUUCUUGUUCGCCCCGCCUAUAUAUUGCCGUCGUCAGCUUACCCUUUAAAGGAAACACAGUAAGCAAAAUUGGUAUUACCCUAAACGCCAGGUCGAAAUGUAGUGAAUGAAAAGGAAAGAAAUGGGCUACAUUCCAUAAAACAGUGAAUACGGACGGCGGACUGAAAUGUCUACCUGAAGGAGGAUUUAGCAGUAAGAAGAGAAUAGAAUGCUCUCCUGAAAUAGGCCCUGAAGCGCGUACACACCGCCCGUCACUCUCCCCGACAACUACCACAACCCUACAUUAAACCUAUAUUU